GGCGUGCAUAAGAGAGAGAGGAAAGCAUGCAGACAGGACUUACAUGUUUGCCUUAUGUAAUUAUUUUUACUAUUUUUUUCUACUUUUGACGCUGGACACGUGAGGGGUUGCUGUCAGCCUUCCACUUCUCGCUUGUGUCAAAGAGAGAAAGAGACCAUGUAUUUUGUACUUUUAUUUUCUUCAAAAGUAUAUAGGCCAACCUUACGUGCUUGUCCUAUAUGAUCUCUCCAAUGGCCUAAAUAUAUAGAAAAUAGAGCAAAAUAAGAAAAAAAAUAUCUCCAAAUGGUUAAUAUGUGAGAAGAAAAAAAAAUUAAAAAAAGUAGAAACCUUUGAUUUUUUUCCCUUCUUUUCUCUCAAGCAAAAUCUAUUUAAAAUCAAAGAAAAAAAGUAAAGAAAAUUUCGUAGGUAGAACGGAGGAGGAAGAAAUUUUCUUUGGAAUUUUUUUUUUUUAUUUUUUACGCUUUUAAGUAUCCACGCAAAGAGGAAAAGAAAAAAAAAAUAUUUCUAAAAAGUUGAAAUAAACCGUUAGGUA
RNAcentral lists this long non-coding RNA (532 nucleotides) under Elaeis guineensis (African oil palm). RNAcentral's name for it is "long non-coding RNA (EGUI_LNC005963)". Lineage: Eukaryota; Viridiplantae; Streptophyta; Magnoliopsida; Arecales; Arecaceae. The record is from RNAcentral.